AACGAACGCUGGCGGCAGGCUUAACACAUGCAAGUUGAGCGCCCCGUAAGGGGAGCGGCAGACGGGUGAGUAACGCGUGGGAAUCUACCCAACCCUACGGAAUAACGCAUGGAAACGUGUGCUAAUACCGUAUACGCCCUUUUGGGGAAAGAUUUAUCGGGGAUGGAUGAACCCGCGUUGGAUUAGCUAGUUGGUGGGGUAAAGGCCUACCAAGGCGACGAUCCAUAGCUGGUCUGAGAGGAUGAUCAGCCACAUUGGGACUGAGACACGGCCCAAACUCCUACGGGAGGCAGCAGCGGGGAAUAUUGGACAAUGGGCGCAAGCCUGAUCCAGCCAUGCCGCGUGAGUGAUGAAGGCCCUAGGGUUGUAAAGCUCUUUCACCGGAGAAGAUAAUGACGGUAUCCGGAGAAGAAGCCCCGGCUAACUUCGUGCCAGCCGCCGCCGUAA
This 447-nucleotide ribosomal RNA is filed under the name uncultured bacterium. RNAcentral describes it as "partial 16S ribosomal RNA". It matches the Rfam family "Bacterial small subunit ribosomal RNA", at positions 29 to 523 of the family's 1533-position model. The record is from RNAcentral.